CGGGUGAGUAAUGCUUGGGAAUCUGGCUUAUGGAGGGGGAUAACUACGGGAAACUGUAGCUAAUACCGCGUAGUGUCGAGAGACGAAAGUGCGGGACCGAAAGGCCGCAUGCCAUGAGAUGAGCCCAAGUGGGAUUAGGUAGUUGGUGGGGUAAAGGCCUACCAAGCCUGCGAUCUCUAGCUGGCCUGAGAGGAUGGCCAGCCACACUGGAACUGAGACACGGUCCAG
RNAcentral lists this ribosomal RNA (228 nucleotides) under uncultured bacterium. Its description in RNAcentral is "partial 16S ribosomal RNA". It matches the Rfam family "Bacterial small subunit ribosomal RNA", at positions 103 to 334 of the family's 1533-position model. The record is from RNAcentral.